GGGGCGGUAGCUACAGCCUGGGAGAGCACUCGGCUGAAGACCGAGUUGUCAUGGGUUCAAAUCCCAUCCGCCCCA
Molecule: transfer RNA, 75 nt
Filed under: Candidatus Woesearchaeota archaeon
Lineage: Archaea; Nanobdellati; Candidatus Woesearchaeota
Also listed under: 2 other names
Description: tRNA-Phe
Rfam family: tRNA
About the family: Transfer RNA (tRNA) molecules are approximately 80 nucleotides in length.
Source: RNAcentral